GGGAUUUUACGUAAUUUUACGAAAAUAACCCUAUAGCAAACAUAUCUGAGAUCUGAUUCCCCAUUUGUUCCAAUCGUGCUCUCCACAAACCCUAACCCUAGAAAAUGAAGAUCGGAUGAGAAUCGCAGUUUUGGUGCUUCAAGGUCUAAAGUUGAAUCAGAUUCUAUCAUCAAUCUACUGAUCCGGGUUGGUUGGAGAUGAAUAUGGUUACGAUGUUGUUCAGCUUCAGUUGUAGAUGGUUAUUGGAAAGUUUAAAGAGGAGCUAGUUUGAAUGUUUUGGGAAGAAGACAUAUCUCGAAAUAAGAGCAUUCAUAUUAGCUUCUCUAUCCUUAUCUAUAUAAUUUAACCAAAAACACAUUUCUUCUUCCAAUUUUUUGAUUAGAUAAAAAUCCCCUUUAUCUCAUUCUCUAUAUUUAUCUCUGU
RNAcentral lists this long non-coding RNA (423 nucleotides) under Helianthus annuus (common sunflower). RNAcentral describes it as "hypothetical non coding rna". The record is from RNAcentral. Lineage: Eukaryota; Viridiplantae; Streptophyta; Magnoliopsida; Asterales; Asteraceae.